UUUCCCUUAGGAUAGCUGCAACCGGUUAAGAGCUUUAUCAGGUAAAGCGAAUGAUUAGAGGAUUCGGGGACGGAAUGUCCUCGACCUAUUCUCAAACUUUAAAUGGGUAAGAACCCGGGGUUGCUUAAUUGAACCCUGCGGUCGAAUCUCGGUUGCUAGUGGGCCAGUCCGGGUAAGCUGGACUGGCGAUGCGGGAUGAUCCGAACGCUGAGUUAAAGUGCCUAACUGCUCGCUCACCUAGAUCCCACAAAAGGUGUUGGUUCAUCCAGACAGCAGGACGGUGGCCAUGGAAGUCGGAAUCCGCUAAGGAGUGUGUAACAACUCACCUGCCGAAUGAACUAGCCCUGAAAAUGGAUGGCGCUCAAGCGUGCUACCCAUACCUCGCCGCCUGGGUAGAUGCGACGCCCAGGCGAGUAGGCAGGCGUGGAGGCCCGUGACGAAGCCUUGGGGGUGACCCCGGGUAGAACGGCCUCUAGUGCAGAUCUUGGUGGUAGUAGCAAAUACUCAAAUGAGAACUUUGAGGACUGAAGUGGGGAAAGGUUCCGUGUGAACAGCAGUUGGACACGGGUUAGUCGAUCCUAAGCCAUAGGGAAACUCCGUUUUAAAG
Molecule: ribosomal RNA, 607 nt
Filed under: Heterosigma akashiwo
Lineage: Eukaryota; Raphidophyceae; Chattonellales; Chattonellaceae
Description: partial Eukaryotic large subunit ribosomal RNA
Rfam family: Eukaryotic large subunit ribosomal RNA
Source: RNAcentral